CAGCCGCCGCGGUAAUACGAAGGGGGCUAGCGUUGCUCGGAAUUACUGGGCGUAAAGGGCGCGUAGGCGGCCGAUCAAGUCAGAGGUGAAAGCCCAAGGCUCAACCUUGGAAUUGCCUUUGAUACUGUUCGGCUCGAGACCGGAAGAGGUUAGUGGAACUGCGAGUGUAGAGGUGAAAUUCGUAGAUAUUCGCAAGAACACCAGUGGCGAAGGCGGCUAACUGGUCCGGUUCUGACGCUGAGGCGCGAAAGCGUGGGGAGCAAACAGGAUUAGAUACCCCUGUAGUCCCUGUCUCUUAUAA
RNAcentral lists this ribosomal RNA (301 nucleotides) under uncultured bacterium. RNAcentral's name for it is "partial 16S ribosomal RNA". It matches the Rfam family "Bacterial small subunit ribosomal RNA", at positions 509 to 809 of the family's 1533-position model. The record is from RNAcentral.